RNAcentral lists this ribosomal RNA (472 nucleotides) under uncultured bacterium. RNAcentral's name for it is "bacterial SSU rRNA". It matches the Rfam family "Bacterial small subunit ribosomal RNA", at positions 355 to 825 of the family's 1533-position model. The record is from RNAcentral.
UGGGGAAUAUUGGACAAUGGGCGAAAGCCUGAUCCAGCCAUGCCGCGUGUGUGAAGAAGGUCUUCGGAUUGUAAAGCACUUUAAGUUGGGAGGAAGGGCAGUUACCUAAUACGUAUCUGUUUUGACGUUACCGACAGAAUAAGCACCGGCUAACUCUGUGCCAGCAGCCGCGGUAAUACAGAGGGUGCAAGCGUUAAUCGGAAUUACUGGGCGUAAAGCGCGCGUAGGUGGUUUGUUAAGUUGGAUGUGAAAUCCCCGGGCUCAACCUGGGAACUGCAUUCAAAACUGACAAGCUAGAGUAUGGUAGAGGGUGGUGGAAUUUCCUGUGUAGCGGUGAAAUGCGUAGAUAUAGGAAGGAACACCAGUGGCGAAGGCGACCACCUGGACUGAUACUGACACUGAGGUGCGAAAGCGUGGGGAGCAAACAGGAUUAGAUACCCACGUAGUCCCUGAGCGGGCUGGCAAGGCGCAU